RNAcentral lists this ribosomal RNA (394 nucleotides) under Escherichia coli. Its description in RNAcentral is "bacterial LSU rRNA". It matches the Rfam family "Bacterial large subunit ribosomal RNA", at positions 1 to 425 of the family's 2925-position model. Lineage: Bacteria; Pseudomonadati; Pseudomonadota; Gammaproteobacteria; Enterobacterales; Enterobacteriaceae. The record is from RNAcentral.
GGGUUGUGAGGUUAAGCGACUAAGCGUACACGGUGGAUGCCCUGGCAGUCAGAGGCGAUGAAGGACGUGCUAAUCUGCGAUAAGCGUCGGUAAGGUGAUAUGAACCGUUAUAACCGGCGAUUUCCGAAUGGGGAAACCCAGUGUGAUUCGUCACACUAUCAUUAACUGAAUCCAUAGGUUAAUGAGGCGAACCGGGGGAACUGAAACAUCUAAGUACCCCGAGGAAAAGAAAUCAACCGAGAUUCCCCCAGUAGCGGCGAGCGAACGGGGAGGAGCCCAGAGCCUGAAUCAGUGUGUGUGUUAGUGGAAGCGUCUGGAAAGGCGCGCGAUACAGGGUGACAGCCCCGUACACAAAAAUGCACAUGCUGUGAGCUCGAUGAGUAGGGCGGGACAC